UACGAAGGGGGCUAGCGUUGCUCGGAAUCACUGGGCGUAAAGCGCACGUAGGCGGAUCUUUAAGUCAGGGGUGAAAUCCUGGAGCUCAACUCCAGAACUGCCUUUGAUACUGGGGAUCUCGAGUCCGGAAGAGGUGAGUGGAACUCCGAGUGUAGAGGUGAAAUUCGUAGAUAUUCGCAAGAACACCAGUGGCGAAGGCGGCUCACUGGCCCGGAACUGACGCUGAGGUGCGAAAGCGUGGGGAGCAAACAGG
RNAcentral lists this ribosomal RNA (253 nucleotides) under uncultured bacterium. Its description in RNAcentral is "partial 16S ribosomal RNA". It matches the Rfam family "Bacterial small subunit ribosomal RNA", at positions 524 to 776 of the family's 1533-position model. The record is from RNAcentral.